RNAcentral lists this ribosomal RNA (116 nucleotides) under uncultured eukaryote. RNAcentral's name for it is "partial small subunit ribosomal RNA". It matches the Rfam family "Bacterial small subunit ribosomal RNA", at positions 1410 to 1525 of the family's 1533-position model. The record is from RNAcentral.
GUUGGUUGUACCAGAAGUAGGUAGUCUAACCGCAAGGAGGGCGCUUACCACGGUAUGGUCAAUGACUGGGGUGAAGUCGUAACAAGGUAGCCGUAGGUGAACCUGCAGAAGGAUCA